This 847-nucleotide non-coding RNA is filed under the name Rattus norvegicus (Norway rat). Lineage: Eukaryota; Metazoa; Chordata; Mammalia; Rodentia; Muridae. The record is from RNAcentral.
CCAGAAGCCACAGGCUGCUAAGCAAAAGCAGUAAUCGGGCAGCAAGCAGAUGGGAUAAGAUGACUGGGGUUUGGCCAGAUGAUUUGGUGCUGGGGCUCCCUACACAACUACCACCAGGAAGGAGGAGCCCACACAUUUCUGGAAUCUGCCACUUUUAAUCGUGAACGGAGGCUCGGCCUGCCCUGAAGCCAACCUUGACAGAGUGGACCAGCGCCAGGAAACCAAGGCAGCACAGAUUCAGGUCAGCCCAGGAGCCUGAAGUCAUAUCCAAGAGGCUGCCAUGAAAUGAGGAGACAUCUUGGCCACGGGAUUCUUUUCCCUUAAGGCAAAGGACUCUGGGUGUCCUUCACUCCUAAACCAAGCCUCCUUUGCUGGAAGUUCUGCACCCUUCCUGGGCAUCCUGGGAGCAUGGCAUUGGCAUUAGCUGAUACUCGGAUGCCUUUUGCCUGGAUCAGCCAAAAACCCACAGGUAGGGCUGCUGCCUCUACCAGGAGACCAGAAGCCUGACAAGCUAAGGAUGCUCCGUCUCCUCAGACAAGAAGGAUGCUGGGCGAGCUCAGUACAGAACAGGAGUCACAGCCAGAGUUGCCACCAAGUGUACUUUAUUGACUCCACUGUGGACAGAUAUACGAAGGGCAGAAUGGAUCAAGGAAGAGAUCGUUAAGUCUGACUUCAGAGCCCCUGUUCACCUCUAGAUGUACAACCUUCACCAUCGACCAGAGCCUCAAAAGCUGGAGCAGGUCACACAUCCGUAAUGCCGGCACUUGGGAACUGUAAGCAGGAGGAUCCAUUCAAGGUCCACUCUGGACUACGUGAGAUCUUGUCUCAAAUAAAUGAAUAACAAGUA